AUGUGCUUUUUCGUCCUCCAUUUUGACUGCGUUGGUGGAAUACUCUUGGUUUGGACUUGGAAUAUUUCGAUUUUUCGCUAAAAUGAGUUUCGAUGGCAGUAAAGGACCUCCAAANAUCGAUGGCAUGACUAGUUUGAAAGUCGAUAAUCUUACUUAUCGAACGGGAGUAGACCAAUUAAAGAAGGUAUUUGGAAAAUAUGGUGAUGUNGGAGACAUCUACAUCCCACGAGAUCGCAAACAUCUUCAAUCUCGGGGCUUUGCCUUCGUUCGAUUCUGGGAAAAAAGAGAUGCCGAAGAUGCUAUGGAUCUUCUAGAUAAGAGUAUUCUGGAUGGAAGGGAGAUCAGAGUACAAAUGGCAAGAUAUGGUCGCCCNACCGAGGAUUACAAACCAAGACAACGCAGCAAUUACUCGAGAAGAAGCUAUCGUUCUCGAUCUCGCUCACCAAGAAGAAGAGGUCGCUACUCCCGUUCAAGAUCAAAAUCUCCUCGUCGACGAUAUUCCCGUUCAAGAUCGCCAAAGCGUCGUUCACGUUCGUUCAGCCCUCGUCGAUCGAGAAGCCCAGUAAAGCGAUCCCGCAGCCGGUCGCCACGACGCUCUCGUUCAAGAUCUCCCAUGCGUCGGUCACGAUCCCCAAGACGGUCACCUUCUCGAUCUCCAAGACAUGAACAAAAUGACAAUAGCGGAGCCUACAAUGAGGCUGCUGAUCUUGAAUAACUUCUGUUAGUUUGUUAAUGUUUGCAAUGUAUGGUGUUUUUCUUUCAGGGGAUGCUGUUUUAGCUGACAUGCAGCCCAAGCCAUUGCACCUCCUAACUUUUUCUGAUUAGGCGCAGUAGUUAAAUGCAGUACUGGUCUGAUGACCUGAGCGGGCAGCGACUGUCUACAGUGUAAUACUGUGUUCCAGUGUUGCUGACCAGAGAGUUGGUGUUAUGCAGAGCCACAGACUGUUUCCAAAUUUGCUGAAUUUUGAGUGCUGAAAACGUUGCAGAUUGCAGACCAAUUGGCAGCUGUGUACCAAAUUUUUUUUGCUGAAAAUACAUGAUGUGGUGAACUCGGAGUCUAAGCUGAAAAAAAUAUUGAAAAGCAGUUUCAAUGAAGUCAAGAUUGGUUUNAANCANAACUACAAAUUGUUGUGAAACUGAGNGUGAGAUGUGAAGUGUGACAUAAAAAANCANUGAAACUGGAAGAGUGAAANCUUUGUUUCAAGAGAGUGUUUGUUNUGUAGAAAGAUGUGAAAAAAGGAGUGUAAAAGCAGAUGGAGCAGAAACAAUGAAAUUGUGCUGUGGUUUUGAAGUGAANGUUGUGAGGCUGAUCCUUCUACUGAAGUAAACUAUGCAAGUGCAGUAGUCGUUGAAGCAGUGAGGGAACCUGAGAAAUGAUUAUCAUUGCAUCAUUCUGCAUCUCGAUUAGUCCAGGAAUAACUCCUGUAAAUGCUGGUGAAGCAUUGUUUUGGGAUGCUGUUGAAGAUGGCUGCUAUGUUGAAGAUGGUUACCAUGUCUGUAGUUAAAGAUAUGUGAAUGUCACCCCAUAAAAACGAGUGUGAAGACGGGUUGGAUUGGAAGCACUAAGGGAGAACCACAGUUGUAAAGGUUAAAUGAAAGAGUGGUUCUUGUUAUCAAGUGUUGGUUAUAAACCUAAGUGAAUGAGUUUGUGGUGAUGUUUGAGUAUGGUGGAGGGUUUGGAAAGUAACACUUGCAUCUGGUGAAAGUCGACAAGCUGGAAGUCUAGUUUGUGUGAGCAAAGAUUGGUGAUAAAGAUAAUAGAUGUCGGUAAUAAGAUAUUGCGAAUNCAGGGUGACUUGAAGAAAGUUUGUCUCCUUUGACAAAUCCUGACAAACCUCAUUCUAAGUGCAGCAGGGGACUCGAAUGGUAUCGACGCGUGAUAUGAGUGUGAAUCGAUGUAGCAUAUAAAGUUCCUGGGACUGUCACCAUGUCGCGAAGAGCGAGUGAAAUCUCUCCAAAAUUAGCGAUGCAGAUGAUAGUCAUGCGCUGCAAGCCGGGACGUCUUACUAUUGGUUCAGAAAAUAAUUGUUGAUUCCAAUAAAUGUGUUNAAAUUA
RNAcentral lists this unclassified non-coding RNA (2055 nucleotides) under Exaiptasia diaphana. RNAcentral describes it as "serine/arginine-rich splicing factor 2, transcript variant X1". Lineage: Eukaryota; Metazoa; Cnidaria; Anthozoa; Actiniaria; Aiptasiidae. The record is from RNAcentral.